UACGAAGGGUGCAAGCGUUAAUCGGAAUUACUGGGCGUAAAGGGUGUGUAGGCGGUUGUUUAAGUCUGUCGUGAAAUCCCCCGGGCUCAACCUGGGAAUGGCGAUGGAUACUGGACAGCUAGAGUGUGUCAGAGGAUGGUGGAAUUCCCGGUGUAGCGGUGAAAUGCGUAGAGAUCGGGGAUGAACACCCGUGGCGAAGGCGGCUCUCUGGGACGGUACUGACGCUGAGACGCGAAAGCGUGGGGAGCGAACAGG
RNAcentral lists this ribosomal RNA (255 nucleotides) under uncultured bacterium. RNAcentral's name for it is "partial 16S ribosomal RNA". It matches the Rfam family "Bacterial small subunit ribosomal RNA", at positions 524 to 776 of the family's 1533-position model. The record is from RNAcentral.